GACGAACGCUGGCGGCGUGCUUAACACAUGCAAGUCGAGCGGGGAUUUGGGGCUUCGGCUCCGGAUUCUAGCGGCGGACGGGUGAGUAACGCGUGAACAAUCUGUCCCAGACAGGGGGAUAACACUUGGAAACAGGUGCUAAUACCGCAUAAGACCACGAGCUCGCAUGGGCUUGAGGUAAAAGGAGCAAUCCGGUUUGGGGUGAGUUCGCGUCCGAUUAGCUAGUUGGUGAGGUAACGGCCCACCAAGGCGACGACCGGUAGCCGACCUGAGAGGGUGAUCGGCCACAUUGGAACUGAGACACGGUCCAA
This 311-nucleotide ribosomal RNA is filed under the name uncultured bacterium. RNAcentral describes it as "bacterial SSU rRNA". It matches the Rfam family "Bacterial small subunit ribosomal RNA", at positions 28 to 334 of the family's 1533-position model. The record is from RNAcentral.